CUGCCCGGUGCUGGAAGGUUAAGGAAGCUUGUUCGGAGCAAUCCAAAGCUUGUGACCGAAGCCCCAGUAAACGGCGGCCGUAACUAUAACGGUCCUAAGGUAGCGAAAUUCCUUGUCGGGUAAGUUCCGACCUGCACGAAUGGUCUAAUGAGUUGAACACUGUCUCCUCCGCGAGCCCAGUGAAAUUGUAGUAUCGGUGAAGAUGCCGGUUACCCGCCACGGGACGAAAAGACCCCGUGAACCUUCACUACAACUUUACAUUGAUUUUGAGUAACAGAUGUGUAGCAUAGUUGGGAGACUAUGAAGCCUGUACGCCAGUAUGGGUGGAGUCACCGUUGAAAUACCAACCUUCUGUUACUUAGAGUCUAACCCCUACGGGGGGACAUUGUAUGGUGGGUAGUUUGACUGGGGUGGUCGCCUCCUAAAAAGUAACGGAGGCUCGCAAAGGUGCCCUCAGUACGGUUGGUAAUCGUACGUAGAGCGUAUUAGUAUAAGGGUGCUUGACUGUGAGGCUGACCAGCCGAGCAGGUGCGAAAGCAGGCUAAAGUGAUCCGGUGAUUCUGUAUGGAAGGGUCAUCGCUCAAAGGAUAAAAGGUACUCCGGGGAUAACAGGCUGAUACCGCCCAAGAGUUCAUAUCGACGGCGGUGUUUGGCACCUCGAUGUCGGCUCAUCUCAUCCUGGGGCUGUAGCCGGUCCCAAGGGUAUGGCUGUUCGCCAUUUAAAGAGGUACGUGAGCUGGGUUUAAAACGUCGUGAGACAGUUUGGUCCCUAUCUUCCGUGGGCGCUGCAAGAUUGAGAGAGCCUGCUCCUAGUACGAGAGGACCGGAGUGGACGCACCUCUGGUGUACCGGUUGUCACGCCAGUGGCAUUGCCGGGUAGCUAAGUGCGGAAGAGAUAACCGCUGAAAGCAUCUAAGCGGGAAACUCGUCUCAAGAUGAGUCUUGCCGGGGCCUAGAGCCCCCUGAAGGGUCGUUCGAGACCAGGACGUUGAUAGGCUGGGUGUGGAAGUGCAGUAAUGCAUUAAGCUAACCAGUACUAAUUGCUCGUGAGGCGGACCACC
Molecule: ribosomal RNA, 1061 nt
Filed under: Austrofundulus limnaeus
Lineage: Eukaryota; Metazoa; Chordata; Actinopteri; Cyprinodontiformes; Rivulidae
Description: bacterial LSU rRNA
Rfam family: Bacterial large subunit ribosomal RNA
Source: RNAcentral